CUGUAGCAAGGAUUUUACUAGGUUUUUUUUUUUUUCUUUCCCUCUUUCUUCUUGUAGGUGCACAAAAGCAGCAGCGCUUUGAAUCUGUACCUCAGUGGCAGCUUAUCACUGCCUCUCAUUGAAGGAGUUCACUCUCCCCAGUUUCUUACCCUGCCUAGAAUUUUCUUUGGUUAUCGCUGGAGCUCAGUGCCAGCACUACGAAUCCACUGCUCCUGGUGGCCGUUUUACCCAUGAGGAGAUAGAGAGAGAGAAAGAGUCACAGAAAGACCAGAGCACUACUCAGCUCUGGCCAGUAAUGGUGCUGGGGAAUGAACCUGGGAACUCAGAGCUUCAGG
Erinaceus europaeus (western European hedgehog) is the source of this 335-nucleotide long non-coding RNA. RefSeq lists it as uncharacterized. Lineage: Eukaryota; Metazoa; Chordata; Mammalia; Eulipotyphla; Erinaceidae. The transcript has 3 exons. The record is from RefSeq and is a predicted model, not a curated record.